Long non-coding RNA from Aphis gossypii (cotton aphid), 198 nucleotides. RefSeq lists it as uncharacterized. NCBI's taxonomy places the organism in Eukaryota, Metazoa, Arthropoda, Insecta, Hemiptera, Aphididae. The record is from RefSeq and is a predicted model, not a curated record. The transcript is spliced from 2 exons.
AAAAGCUGCAGUGUACAAACCUGAUCCUACAAAAUCACAUAACAAAAUAUAUUGUCUAUACUCUAUAAUGAAACGAGAAGGUAUAUAUAGGUUAUAUAUGAAACAUACCAUUCGUACAAUCCGCAGAAACAAAAGGCACGGAUUGAGUUCCGCACAGCAUCACAACGCGUUCCGAACCCCAACCAGCGGCGAAACAAA